Small nucleolar RNA from Dasypus novemcinctus (nine-banded armadillo), 131 nucleotides. Lineage: Eukaryota; Metazoa; Chordata; Mammalia; Cingulata; Dasypodidae. The record is from Ensembl.
GCAUAGGUUUGGAUCUAUGGCAGGUCUGUCUCCCUGGACCUCUCAUAGUGUCCCAUGCCAGAGCAAACUGUAGCCCUGAACCAUUGAUGACCUUGUCCAUAGGCCUCGGCAAUGAAGCGGGUUGCACAGUG